Molecule: non-coding RNA, 29 nt
Filed under: Homo sapiens (human)
Lineage: Eukaryota; Metazoa; Chordata; Mammalia; Primates; Hominidae
Source: RNAcentral
UGCUCAAGGUAACACAGCUGAUAAAUGGU